ACGCUCGACACCUACGGGGAGGCAGCAGUCGGGAAUAUUGCGCAAUGGAGGAAACUCUGACGCAGUGACGCCGCGUAUAGGAAGAAGGUUUUCGGAUUGUAAACUAUUGUCGUUAGGGAAGAGAAAGGACAGUACCUAAGGAGGAAGCUCCGGCUAACUACGUGCCAGCAGCCGGGGUAAUCUGAGGCGGGCUGGCAAGGC
This 201-nucleotide ribosomal RNA is filed under the name uncultured bacterium. RNAcentral describes it as "partial 16S ribosomal RNA". It matches the Rfam family "Bacterial small subunit ribosomal RNA", at positions 328 to 539 of the family's 1533-position model. The record is from RNAcentral.